RNAcentral lists this unclassified non-coding RNA (231 nucleotides) under fungal sp. Its description in RNAcentral is "partial internal transcribed spacer region". The stretch from base 1 to 46 matches the Rfam family "Eukaryotic small subunit ribosomal RNA", at positions 1786 to 1831 of the family's 1831-position model. Lineage: Eukaryota; Fungi. The record is from RNAcentral.
AAGUCGUAACAAGGUAUCCGUAGGUGAACCUGCGGAUGGAUCAUUAUAGGGUGUUGGGUAAUUGUGAGUGGUUUUAUUAUUAGUAGUUUGAGCGGUGUUGGUUGGGAUGCUUGCAGGAUUGCCAAGCAGGAUUGCCAAGCAAGACAGCCAACAUUGCCCACGUUAAACUCUAUAAAUCUAAACAAUAAAAUACAACAAAAACAACUUUUAGCAACGGAUCUCUUGGCUCUC